RNAcentral lists this transfer RNA (86 nucleotides) under Crassvirales sp. RNAcentral's name for it is "tRNA-Tyr". It matches the Rfam family "tRNA". Rfam says of the family: Transfer RNA (tRNA) molecules are approximately 80 nucleotides in length. Their secondary structure includes four short double-helical elements and three loops (D, anti-codon, and T loops). Further hydrogen bonds mediate the characteristic L-shaped molecular structure. tRNAs have two regions of fundamental functional importance: the anti-codon, which is responsible for specific mRNA codon recognition, and the 3' end, to which the tRNAs corresponding amino acid is attached (by aminoacyl-tRNA synthetases). tRNAs cope with the degeneracy of the genetic code in two manners: having more than one tRNA (with a specific anti-codon) for a particular amino acid; and 'wobble' base-pairing, i.e. permitting non-standard base-pairing at the 3rd anti-codon position. The record is from RNAcentral. Lineage: Duplodnaviria; Heunggongvirae; Uroviricota; Caudoviricetes; Crassvirales.
GGGAGUACUGCUCUGAUGGUGGAAGGGCACAGGUCUGUAAAACCUGCACAUAAGAAACUCAGUAAGUUCGACUCUUACUACUCCCA